GUAGUUUGUAACGAUUAUCGUUACUUUUUCGACAAAAAUAUGGUACUACACAGUCUACUUUCGUUUUCGAUGGUGCAAAAUGGAGCAGAAGAAAAUUCACGAUGCACCUAAACAAUUAAAAUCCUCGGUGUGGAAGCAUUUCGGGUUUUAUCAGCAUACUAAUUCAACAGAACUUGACAGAGCAAACGCUAUUUGCAAAGUAGGAGCUGAAAGUAUUUUUAAGACUCAUUUACUGAUGCAUUCGGUGCACAUUUAUUUAAGUAUAUAUUUGGUAGGCAAGACAGACGUAUCCCGCGUGGGACUCAAACAGUAGACCUUCGGCUAAAAAGGCUGACGUACUAACCACUUCUCUUAGGCUACGAAUACAAACAAUGACAACACUAAAAUCUUCUUCAGUUUGAUGGUGGUGAACACUCAGCCAUGGUCGCUGCAGAUGCCUGCACCAGGAAAUGUUCUUGUGUUCGCCUUGUUGAUGCUAGACUUGAACCGUUGCGGCUCCAGUUUGGAGCAUGUCAGAUUGCUGUAAUGGACUGUUUGUGUGGAUGUUGCGUGAU
Long non-coding RNA from Dreissena polymorpha, 554 nucleotides. RefSeq lists it as uncharacterized. NCBI's taxonomy places the organism in Eukaryota, Metazoa, Mollusca, Bivalvia, Myida, Dreissenidae. The transcript has 3 exons. The record is from RefSeq and is a predicted model, not a curated record.